This 605-nucleotide ribosomal RNA is filed under the name uncultured bacterium. Its description in RNAcentral is "bacterial SSU rRNA". It matches the Rfam family "Bacterial small subunit ribosomal RNA", at positions 9 to 660 of the family's 1533-position model. The record is from RNAcentral.
GAGUUUGAUCCUGGCUCAGGGCGAACGCUGGCGGCAGGCCUAACACAUGCAAGUCGAACGGAUCCUUCGGGAUUAGUGGCGGACGGGUGAGUAACACGUGGGAACGUGCCUUUAGGUUCGGAACAACUCAGGGAAACUUGAGCUAAUACCGGAUGUGCCCUUAGGGGGAAAGAUUUAUCGCCUUUAGAGCGGCCCGCGUCUGAUUAGCUAGUUGGUGAGGUAAAGGCUCACCAAGGCGACGAUCAGUAGCUGGUCUGAGAGGAUGACCAGCCACAUUGGGACUGAGACACGGCCCAAACUCCUACGGGAGGCAGCAGUGGGGAAUCUUGCGCAAUGGGCGAAAGCCUGACGCAGCCAUGCCGCGUGUAUGAUGAAGGUCUUAGGAUUGUAAAAUACUUUCACCGGUGAAGAUAAUGACUGUAGCUGGAGAAGAAGCCCCGGCUAACUUCGUGCCAGCAGCCGCGGUAAUACGAAGGGGGCUAGCGUUGCUCGGAAUUACUGGGCGUAAAGGGAGCGUAGGCGGACAUUUAAGUCAGGGGUGAAAUCCCAGAGCUCAACUCUGGAACUGCCUUUGAUACUGGAUGUCUUGAGUAUGAGAGAGGUAU